UGAAACUAAUUUAGCGUGAGAAUCUAGGACGGUUGUUUUAGCUCCAGCAAUAGCUCCGCCUGCACCUGAAAAAUCCCAAAAUCAAUUAGCUGCGGUUUUAAAUCCCUAGAAGCAAAAAUAAUUGAAAAUAUAAACACAUAAUCUAAUUAAAUUGAAUAUAAUACACAUACCCGAUGCAACAAGAUGAGGAAGAAAAGAGGCGGAGGACGGAUAAAACCAAGAAUACGAAAUAAUGAAGAGUCGGACAGGCGGAGAACGACGAAAGAUUCGGUGCCGGAAGAUGACUAGGCGACGAAAAGGAUGACACGGUGAGUGAACUUUGACGGCAAUUAUGUCUGACGGCGAGUGUUUUUUGGUCGGGGAAGAAAAAAUUGCCUCGUGUCUUUGCUUUUAUGUCGAUUAAGACUUUUUGUUAUAAGGUUAUUUGGAAAUCUGUUCGACAACACUAUAUCAAACAAUUUGUGUUUAAAAAGUUUGUGUUUAAAGAAUUUGUAUUUUUAGGGUAAAACUAGAUUUUUAUUAGUGAAAAU
RNAcentral lists this long non-coding RNA (530 nucleotides) under Eutrema salsugineum. RNAcentral describes it as "long non-coding RNA (ESAL_LNC002207)". Lineage: Eukaryota; Viridiplantae; Streptophyta; Magnoliopsida; Brassicales; Brassicaceae. The record is from RNAcentral.